RNAcentral lists this transfer RNA (59 nucleotides) under Protocruzia adhaerens. RNAcentral's name for it is "Protocruzia adherens tRNA". It matches the Rfam family "tRNA", at positions 8 to 63 of the family's 71-position model. Rfam says of the family: Transfer RNA (tRNA) molecules are approximately 80 nucleotides in length. The record is from RNAcentral. Lineage: Eukaryota; Ciliophora; Spirotrichea.
UUAGUCUAGGCGGCUAGGAUAUCAGGCUUUCACCCUGAGGACCCGGGUUCGAGUCCCGG